Molecule: unclassified non-coding RNA, 256 nt
Filed under: Hevea brasiliensis (rubber tree)
Lineage: Eukaryota; Viridiplantae; Streptophyta; Magnoliopsida; Malpighiales; Euphorbiaceae
Source: RNAcentral
GAGGAAUCGAGGUGGUAAGCCUGGUCAGUGGCCUAGUUGGAGGGGAUGCACUGAUUCCACAUGUACCAGGAAGUGUACAAGUGAUAGUGUCUCCGCUAACAGGUGACCCCAUACCACAUCGACAAUUGAAGUUUCUAGAGGCAUUGUUAGGCUCGGUGCCUCUGGUUCACAUCGAAGACGUGUGCGAGGCCCAUGUCUUUUGCACAGACAUACCUUCCAUGUCUGGUAGGUUUCUGUGUGCAAGUGCCAACCCCAC